UACGUAGGGUCCGAGCGUUGUCCGGAAUUAUUGGGCGUAAAGGGCUCGUAGGCGGUUUGUUGCGUCGGGAGUGAAAACUUCGAGCUUAACUCGGAGCUUGCUUUCGAUACGGGCAGACUUGAGGCAUUCAGGGGAGAACGGAAUUUCUGGUGUAGCGGUGAAAUGCGCAGAUAUCAGAAGGAACACCGGUGGCGAAGGCGGUUCUCUGGGAAUGUUCUGACGCUGAGGAGCGAAAGCAUGGGGAGCGAACAGG
RNAcentral lists this ribosomal RNA (253 nucleotides) under uncultured bacterium. Its description in RNAcentral is "partial 16S ribosomal RNA". It matches the Rfam family "Bacterial small subunit ribosomal RNA", at positions 524 to 776 of the family's 1533-position model. The record is from RNAcentral.